This 23-nucleotide non-coding RNA is filed under the name Mus musculus (house mouse). RNAcentral also lists the same sequence under 1 other name. The record is from RNAcentral. Lineage: Eukaryota; Metazoa; Chordata; Mammalia; Rodentia; Muridae.
AAGUGCCGCCAGGUUUUGAGUGU